CCCACCCCUGCCGGCCGCCCGAACCGCUGCCUGGUCCUCCUCUCCGGUCUUCGGCUUCCCUCCCAGUCUAGUCUUCACAUUGUGCUCGGCUUGGGUUGCGGGAGGACCCGGGCCUGGGGGCCAGGCCCCGGCGACGGCGCCUGGCUACCCUCAGGCGCGCACAAUCGGCGUCCUCCCGGGCCGGGGCUAGGGACGGCGGAGACCCUCCCUGCAGGCGUGGCGUGGUGUGUGCGCGCUCCGGCGGCUGAGCCUCGGCGGCUUCUCGAAAGCAGCGGAGAAAAGCGCCGCAGUGCCGCUGCCCGUGGAGGCGGUGGUGGCGGCGGCGGCAGAAGACGCCCACUGGCGGAGCAGGCGCUCCCCACGCCGCCGCCGCCGCCGCCGCCUUCCGCGCCCACGUAGCGCGCCCCGCGGGACUCGGCCCCUGCGCCAGGCUCCCGCACCCGAGUGAUCCUCUGUGCGCCGCCUGCACCCGGGGCCGGGGCGGGCGGACAGAGCAACCGCUGCGUCUCUGCCCUGCCUUGUCACAUCUGGGUCCGGUGUUUCGGAUUCUAAAUCCUGAGUCCUGCAGCUGCUCCAGCUGUGCGCUGCUGGGCGAGCCACGUCGGCCUGCCCGUUGCCCGAGCCAGGGAAUCCUCCUGGUAGCGGGCCAGCAGCUCCGACCCAGCUGUGCUCAGUCAGAGUUCCCGGGAGAGAGUUCCAACUCGGACCUUUGGUUGGAGUUUAAAUCAACUCGCAGUGUUUCCCAUAAACUAGGGUUUGAAAUACGGUUCCUCCCCAGGACUCCCUUUCGCAUACUCACUUUAAAACGAACUUCGUGUGCACAAGCCCAGUUUGCCUUGGUUGGGGUUAGAGAACGGAAAGGGCAAACUGUGGCCAAAAAUGAGCAAGACUGUGCGAUCAUUGCCCCAAACCCUGAGACCGCCUUGCCAUAUGCGGCUCUCUUGGACACCCCCACCCCCUUCCGUAGCCAUGAAUCCAGGCAGUUGCCACUGAAGGGAAAUGAGCCGCCCAAUGGGCGCUCAGAACUAGGAGCCGCCAGAAGUUUGGGGAAGUUGGAGCGCAAGAGCGCACACAGAUGCACAGGUGUCCGCGUUCGGGCAGGCACGCGCGGCGGGGCCACCAUGGCGCGCUGGGUCCGAGGAGGGGCGGUGGCUGUGCUGUUCCACGGUGGCACGGGCUGUCCGGACUGCCUGGACGAGGUCACCUUCCCCGGAGUGGAGCACACGCGCCAAAGCUCAGCUUUCACGAAGGGCAAAACGGUCACCCAAGCGCCAGGCGUGCGCUACAGUGCAGCAACUGGGUUGACCCAGGGCCCUGGGCUCCCGGUGUGCCCCGGGUCCCGGGGCCAUUUCUCGCCCUCCACGUUUUCUUCUUUCUAUCCAGUUUCACAUGUUUAUUUUGAAGCGUGCUCCAGAUUCCUCACUAGUCGAUGCUUUCCCCGACUCCCAUCCAAACUCCCCCCAAUGGAAAAUAACACUUUUGUAUUUGCACCAAGCUGAGCAGUUGGGAUGCAAAGGACAUGCUGGGGCUCCCCUCCCCCAGUAAAGUCCACAGACGUCUCCGCGAUUGCCGGGCAGAUUCUGAGUGUCGCGUGUAACGGGCAUCAGACUUGGCACUCACUAGGUCAGAAUCCCUACAUUUGUGGAAGAAGAAAAUGAUUCCUGUGACUCUUACCUUAGGGGCGCUGCCCUUGUUUCUGAAUUUUUUCGGCAAAGAAAAAAACUGCAAUGGUUGAGCCAGGCUGCCGGCAGCCUCCCGGCUUGACGCUUCUCCAGCCGUGCAGAGUCCACUCCGGUUACUUUGCUGCGAGUCCGGAGUUUGUGCUUUCGCGACUGGACCAGGCAGCAAGGGUCUGAGGGCUGCCCACACAUUUAGGGAAGUCGAGUUUCUCCUCAAGUGUUUAUUGUUUAUUCCUUUACACGCAAAAUUGUUUCUCCUUGUCAUUUAAGUUUCUUUAUUUGCAUUUUGGAGUUACUAAAUCUAUUUUUCAGUUCCAAGAAAAUAUACAUUUAACUUGCCCAUAAGCCCCCUUGCGGGCGCAGGAGACAGGGUGGGAAACCCCAAAUAUUUGUCCUGGGAGCCCUUAUUAAAUCAGGAGGCAAACUUUAAAAUUUUCAUUAACCCUUUCCCAGAAUCAACCUCCUGUUUACCUUUCGUCCUUUUCUCCAAGUGCUUGCUGGAAGGGACGUUUUCCUGGACAAAUUAAAAAUCACAAGGCAUAACAACGGAAAAGAAAACAACUUGAGGAUGGAGUUUACUGAUUAGCUCUGAAAUUUUCAUACAUGAUCUCCCUCCUUCAUACUGGUGUCCACGUUUGUUACUAGAAAGAAAGAAAAUAAAAGAAAAAGAAAGGAAAGGAAGGAAGAAAGAAAAGAAAGAAAGAGAGAGAGAAAGAAAGAAAAGACAGAAAGAGAAAGGAAGGAAGGAAGGUUUUAAUGAGGAGACAAUGCUUUUUGUCCCUGAGCUUCUCUUGUUCAAGUGCAGAACAGAAAAAGGAGAGAGAAAGUUUGAUGCAGGGAUCAGGCCUCCUCAGCCGCUGAUGCCUCAUGAUAGAAGCACCGUGGCUUCUCAAGGACUGUAGGUUACAGAAGGCUCCCGUCUAGACUGAGUCAGGCCUGGUGGCUGGCACACACACAGUCUACCCAGUGUCUGCAAGAGCAGCCAAUUGGGAGACACUCCACACUUCUCUCUGAGUCAUUGCCUUGUCCAUCCAGGUGCCCACAGCACACACCAACCCACUGCAAACAAGACCUUUUCUCCUGGGAGAAAGCCUCAACGUUUUCAAGCUUGAGUUUUCAGAGUUCUAUAAUUCAAGUGAGUUGCUGCCACAAAAGCAAGAAGGAUCACCAUUCAGCUGUAGCAACCUCCACGGAGGAAACAAGAGAGGAAAUGAGAUGUUCUCCAUUCUGCCAGAAGGCAAACUUCCAGCUACAAUCGGAGGUACUUUCUCUGCAGGUAAGCACCUCUCCAGUGCAAUGAGAACAAAAGAUAAA
This 2993-nucleotide long non-coding RNA is filed under the name Homo sapiens (human). RNAcentral describes it as "HSALNT0116522". Lineage: Eukaryota; Metazoa; Chordata; Mammalia; Primates; Hominidae. The record is from RNAcentral.